UGGGCCAAAUUAGUACAGUUUCAUCAGUUUGAUCAGUUUGUAGUUAACUCCUACCAGCAACAAUGCUCGUAGUUAACAUCUUCAAUAUGCAAGGCUUUUCCUGCAUGUUCCCCAAUGGAAAGAACCCUGUAGGGAGUAUUAUUCACUAUUGCUGCAGAAGUUAUGUAAUGCAGAAACAUAGCAGGAGCAAAAUAUAUUCUAUUGCUGCAGGGAGUGCCAUGAUGCAGAUUGGCCAUGGAAUAACACACCAUGGAGCGGAGUUUGUAUGAGACAGCAAGUUGACACGAUGAUCGAUCAACCAAAAUCGAUACUAUUUUCUUCAAUAAAAAAAAAAAAAAAAAGGGGGCA
This 348-nucleotide unclassified non-coding RNA is filed under the name Hevea brasiliensis (rubber tree). Lineage: Eukaryota; Viridiplantae; Streptophyta; Magnoliopsida; Malpighiales; Euphorbiaceae. The record is from RNAcentral.